CACACCGCCCGUCACACCAUGGGAGUCAGUCGUACCGGAAGUCGGCGUGCUAACCCGCAAGGGGGGCAGCCGCCUAUGGUAUGGCUGGUGACUGGGGUG
This 99-nucleotide ribosomal RNA is filed under the name uncultured bacterium. RNAcentral describes it as "partial 16S ribosomal RNA". It matches the Rfam family "Bacterial small subunit ribosomal RNA", at positions 1386 to 1482 of the family's 1533-position model. The record is from RNAcentral.